UAAAUUUCCUAAUGACGUAUACAUAAAUAUUUUUAUAAUAAAAAGUUGUUUAGUCACACCGGUGGAUUUUUUUCAUACCCAAAAUCGGGGUAGCUUUGGAAUACAAAAACAUUUUUUUUUUUAAUUUUGAUUUAUUCAAUAAUAAAUAUUUAUACUAUGAAUUAUGGGCUAGAAGUAUGAGGUUUAUUGAAAUAAGUAGUAAUAUUUAAUGUGUUCCUAAAGCAAUUGCAUUGAGACUUUUAAGUUUAAAUAUUAAACAUUAUUUUAUCUUGAGAAUCAUGUCAUUGUAUUUCAAUAAUGUGAUGGUUACUCUUAUGCCUAUUGGUUAUUUGUAUAUGUUUCUUCUUUUAAGUUUAAAUCAAUAUAAAAAGGGCAUUAUUUUCAAUUGAGACACAAGGGAACAACCAACAAUAAUCUGAACACAAAGAGGACGUUAUGAUGGUCAGUAUAUGAUUCUUAAACUGAAUAUCCUUGUCGCAAACAGAUCCGGUCUUUGUUCACAAGAGCAUGUAUAUAGGGUGUUCAGAUUUUGUACUUCAAAACAACAAGCAUUUUUAAAUUUUAUAAUUGGAAGUAUGAUAUAUAAAGGUAUUCAUAUUAUUUAAUAAAUAGGGGAAAAAUGCUCCCCUAAAAUCCAAAGUAAUUAUUUAUUCGGUUUAAGAAUCCCAAUGGGUGAAAAAAUAAAAAGGAGAUAAAACGCUUUUCGAAUUAUUUAAUCUAAAAAUAUCAAUGACAUUUUUGGAAUAUAGAAGGGCGUGUGAGAAAAAAAGGAGAGUGGAAAAAAAUAGGCAUACAUUAAUUAAUAAAUACAUUUUAAUUUUAUGUCAUUUAAGUUACCAGACUAGGAUUUAUGUAAGGAAAAAUUAUGGGCUUUUGGAGCCCAACUUCUCAUUGAUGUCUAACUUUUUCUUUUUUUUGGUUGCAAGUGUAAAAACCUGAAACCCCAUAAACAAACAACGCAGGUAUUCAUAAAUCGCCACAAUGGUCAUGUUUUUUUUUUUUUUAUAUACACGUCAAAGACCUUUUAACAUCUUAAUGCCCUUGCAUAGAUCACAAACUUUCGUUACCAAGCUUGACCACAAUGGUAAUGUUGAAAGGGAAAAAACUAGUAAAUAUGUGUUUCAAACUACGUUUUCACCUUAAAAACACAGAAGCUACAAAAUUAAGCUUCUGCAUUACCAUGGUUUUCGCAAACAUGCCACGAAACAAAACCUACGCAACUAUGCUAAAUAAAAUGUGAUUUUUUACAAAAUUAAUUAUAGUUAGAUGUAGAAGUUAGGAGAGGUUGCUUCAAGAGGAAUUAAUCGAUUUGAAUUAAUUUGAUUACUUUCUAAAAUGAGACUCGAACAUACUUGCAACUCAUUAGAAUCAUGCUUGAUCACUUAAACGCGUGUGUACUUAUCGUGGAAUCAAACAUACACUUAAUCCUACUUGUAGACAAUCAAUCUCCAAUCCAACAACCCCAUGAAGCACCUUGAAUACUCUCAGAAGUAGUAGAGGAUGGAAAAUAGGCUGUGACAUAGAUUUGAUGUAUUUAGGAAAGAUAGUAAUGAUUAAAAUAAGAUUGUUCAUAUGACAGAUUGAUGAAUUAGAGAGAUAAAAAUGGUCAUCAAAAGUAGAAAAUUGAAAAACUAUACAAUUUUUUUUGUCAAGUAGCUUAGUGGUUAGAGCUCACACAAUUUAAUUGUGGAGAAGUGGGGUUCCGGGGUUUGAACCUCGACCCCUGCAUAUAAUACUUAAUAUCCCUACCAACUGAGCUAAGCUCACGAAGAUACUAUACAAUUUAUCCUCAAGAGGAUUAAUUCAAAUAUGUCUACCACUAUUAUAUUCCAUUAUUAUACUAAUUGAAAUGUGCUUUCCACAUGAUAUAUUGAUUAUGCUAGGUGGCAAAAUGCCAAGCCAGCAAUUAUUCAAUGUAGGUGUCAUGUCACUUUUGUUGACUGUCACAUUCGAUAUAUAAUUAGUUUCACGCCAUAGAAUUCAAUCACACACUUAAUUUUUUGGUUUUAUGUAACAACCAAACUACUCCAGUUAAAUCCAGAGAUAUUGGCCAUUAAAGUAUAAACAUUAUUGCAUAAAAAAAUACAUAUAUUUGAUGACUCAUUGAAAAAUAGUGAUUUAAGAUUGUAGGUAGAACAACAUCACUACAAAGAUAUGAAUAAUUAUAAAUUGAAGUUGCACUUUCUUUAAUUGAUUGAAGUAUCACCAAAUCCACUACAUGCUUUACAGUGAAAUGAAAUAACAAUGAAACUAAUGCAAAAAUGUAAACUAUCACAUUUUGAGUCCUUUUGUAAAGGCACUACCAAAAUUUCAUUACACAUGAAUGAAGAAAUGAAGCUGUACAAAUAAUGACCUAUUUUGGAAUAUGCAAGAAUUGAAAUCUAAGGAAUGAAAGGAACAAAAGAGAAAAAAAAAUGAACUGUCUUAUUUUGGAAAGAAUGUACCCUACUCUCAAAUGGCAAAUGGCAAUUCACUUCAUCUUCUUUUUUCUUUUUUUAUGAGCAGGAAUCAAAUUCGGUAUCCAAGGAUUUACAACACUCGCACUGUGCACCAAUCACUUGCGCCUGUCCAGUGUUUUGAGAACAGUUUAUUAAAUCGCUGCAG
RNAcentral lists this long non-coding RNA (2604 nucleotides) under Medicago truncatula (barrel medic). RNAcentral describes it as "long non-coding RNA (MTRU_LNC008232)". Lineage: Eukaryota; Viridiplantae; Streptophyta; Magnoliopsida; Fabales; Fabaceae. The record is from RNAcentral.